Molecule: small nuclear RNA, 103 nt
Organism: Cavia porcellus (domestic guinea pig)
Lineage: Eukaryota; Metazoa; Chordata; Mammalia; Rodentia; Caviidae
Source: Ensembl
GUGCUCACUUCAGCAGCCCAUAUGCUAAAACUGGAAGGAAACAAGAGUAACAUGGCCCCUGCACAAGGAUGACACGCAAAUUCGUGAAGCAUUCCCUAUUUUU